GAUGAACGCUGGCGGCGUGCCUAAUACAUGCGAGUCGAGCGAACAGACGAGGAGCUUGCUCCUCUGACGUUAGCGGCGGACGGGUGAGUAACACGUGGAUAACCUACCUAUAAGACUGGGAUAACUUCGGGAAACCGGAGCUAAUACCGGAUAAUAUAUUGAACCGCAUGGUUCAAUAGUGAAAGACGGUGUUGCUGUCACUUAUAGAUGGAUCCGCGCCGCAUUAGCUAGUUGGUAAGGUAACGGCUUACCAAGGCAACGAUGCGUAGCCGACCUGAGAGGGUGAUCGGCCACACUGGAACUGAGACACGGUACAGACGCAUACGGGAGGGAGCAGUAGGGAAUCUUCCGCAAUGGGCGAAAGCUUGACGGAGCAACGCCGCGUGAGUGAUGAAGGUCUUCGGAUCGUAAAACUCUGUUAUUAGGUAAGAACAAAUGUGUAAGUAACUAUGCACGUCUUGACGGUACCUAAUCAGAAAGCCACGGCUAACUACGUG
RNAcentral lists this ribosomal RNA (497 nucleotides) under uncultured bacterium. RNAcentral's name for it is "partial 16S ribosomal RNA". It matches the Rfam family "Bacterial small subunit ribosomal RNA", at positions 28 to 507 of the family's 1533-position model. The record is from RNAcentral.